Triticum aestivum (bread wheat) is the source of this 344-nucleotide long non-coding RNA. RefSeq lists it as uncharacterized. The transcript is spliced from 3 exons. Lineage: Eukaryota; Viridiplantae; Streptophyta; Magnoliopsida; Poales; Poaceae. The record is from RefSeq and is a predicted model, not a curated record.
GGCUGACGCGGCUCCUCACCAGGGGCAUGCUCCAGGGUGAUGUGAGGCUUGCAAACUUCGGGCUUAAUGGAGAUGAUCAGUUGCUUGAGCAUAAAUGAAUCACCCACUCAUGGCGACCGAGGCACUGAACCAUAUUACACUUGUGUGCUCAAACCAACUGAGCUUAAUUCAUAUAUGUAAAUAUUUAAGAAUGUGAGGACGAUGCCCAAUUGACAAGGAUUGCAAUACUGUAUGAAUCAUUUGGAGAUGGGUUGUAGAUAUUAAGCUAUGUAAGAGAUGAUUUUAAGGUCGACUUGUGAUAUGACAAGCGGAUCACGGUGUCACGGAAUGAGCAAUUAGAGAAC